Felis catus (domestic cat) is the source of this 85-nucleotide transfer RNA. It matches the Rfam family "tRNA". From Rfam's summary of the family: Transfer RNA (tRNA) molecules are approximately 80 nucleotides in length. The record is from Rfam. Lineage: Eukaryota; Metazoa; Chordata; Mammalia; Carnivora; Felidae.
GCCUGCGUGGCUCAGUCGGUUAAGCGUCUGACUUCAGCUCAGGUUGUGAUCUUGUGGUUUGUGGGUUCGAGCCCUGCAUCAGGCU